Molecule: ribosomal RNA, 779 nt
Filed under: uncultured bacterium
Lineage: Bacteria
Description: bacterial SSU rRNA
Rfam family: Bacterial small subunit ribosomal RNA
Source: RNAcentral
AGAGUUUGAUCAUGGCUCAGGACGAACGCUGGCGGCGUGCCUAAUACAUGCAAGUCGAGCGGACUUUUCGGGAGCUUGCUUCCGGAAAGUCAGCGGCGAACGGGUGAGUAACACGUGGGUAACCUGCCUGCAAGACCGGGAUAACUUCGGGAAACCGGAGCUAAUACCGGAUGAUCUCCUUUUCCGCAUGGAGAAGGACUGAAAGGACGGCGCAAGCUGUCGCUUGCAGAUGGGCCCGCGGCGCAUUAGCCAGUUGGUGAGGUAACGGCUCACCAAGGCGACGAUGCGUAGCCGACCUGAGAGGGUGAUCGGCCACACUGGGACUGAGACACGGCCCAGACUCCUACGGGAGGCAGCAGUAGGGAAUCUUCCGCAAUGGACGAAAGUCUGACGGAGCAACGCCGCGUGAGCGAUGAAGGCCUUCGGGUCGUAAAGCUCUGUUGUCAGGGAAGAACAAGUGCGGGAGUAACUGCCCGCACCUUGACGGUACCUGACCAGAAAGCCACGGCUAACUACGUGCCAGCAGCCGCGGUAAUACGUAGGUGGCAAGCGUUGUCCGGAAUUAUUGGGCGUAAAGCGCGCGCAGGCGGUCCCUUAAGUCUGAUGUGAAAGCCCCCGGCUUAACCGGGGAGGGUCAUUGGAAACUGGGGGACUUGAGUGCAGAAGAGAAGAGCGGAAUUCCAUGUGUAGCGGUGAAAUGCGUAGAGAUGUGGAGGAACACCAGUGGCGAACGCGGCUUCCUGGCCUGUAACUGACGCUGAGGCGCGAAAGCGUGGGGA